GCUUGGCGGGGUCUGAGACUGCCCAAGCGCAAACAGGGCUUCAAACUCUGAAUUCACGGGCUAGUCUGGAAAUGCCAGUACCUGGGAAACUCGAACUUGGCUUUUCAGCGCCGCUUUUCCCUGUAUCCCCUCCAUCCCUCUGGCUGCCACCGUCCUGCCUCUGGACCCCGUGGUCAGGCUCGCUGCAGAGCCCCGUGGACCCCGCCGGGCUGAGCGGUCCACACCUCGGUCAGGCCUCUUGGAAGGACUGCCCCAGCCAUGUUAUAAAAGGAGGAAACGUCACAGUGGGCAGACCCCACUCCUGCGUUAUAGACAGGAAACUCAGGCGUACAGUUUCUCUAAUUCCAAGUUCGACGUUACUACCUGCUUCUCAAAUGAGUAAUUGGCAGCCUCAAUUCUCUGCAGAGGGGAUGCAGAAUAGCAGAGUAUCUGUGAUACAACUUUCGGGAACAUCAAUUUUACUACAAGAUUUAUAAGAAAUGGAGUUAAGUAACUUCCAAGCAGGAGGUUCUAGGCCAUGGGGCGGCAGAGGAAAGAUGUUCACCAGGAGAAUGGUUCACAAGUCAUCAUUGGUACUACAAUAGGAUUCCUAACUCCACAUGUGCCAUAACAUCUUGAAAGCCAACAGGAGAAAACACGAGGCACCAGGACACCGUAGGUACACUGCCGUCAGUUAUAGCUCAAAAUUAGAGACUCCCAGUGAUGAACAGAUGUGGACUUAGUAUAUUCCAGAGGAGUGAUGGACCAGAGGGACCAACUUAGGACGCUGAGGCAGAGAGUGCCCGUGGUCAUAUGGGAGCUCUCGGGAACAGAGCUCAGCCAGAACCUGGGUCUCCUGAAUCUCAAGCUGUUAGUCUUUCAUGACAUGAUAUUGCCAAUGAAGAGCCCAAUUCAAGCCCUCCGUUAUGUUAAAAGAAGAAAAAAAGAGAAAAGAGGGCCUCCUUCCUCUGUUUUAUUCAUGUGUUAGCUUCUGUCAGAUCGCCUCCCUCAGCAUCACAGCUAUGAGAUUCACCUGUGACGUGUGUCAGCAUCUGCUCCUGAGCACAACUGAGGAGUGUUCUGCUGUGUGAAUGCCCCACAGCUUCCCUACUGAUGACACGUGGGUUAUUUCCUCUGUGAACAUUGGUCCCCUUUAGGCCAGAGCAAUGGGAUCAGAGAAUACUUCAUUGCCAAAGGCCCAGUCCUAUGUGUGAGUGAGGAGGGGUGGUUCUCAAAGACAAGAGGUUUGGGUUAAAUAGACUUGCACUUCCCAAAUACCUAUCAGUACUUUCCUCCUUACUUGAGACUGUUUUCUAGAGGAUCUAGGCUAAGAAAAUUGAUACUAGAAAUGGGAUAUAAAACUGAACCUUUGGAGAGUAUUUUGGAAUUGAGUUGCUCACUUGUUUGAAAACAAUUGCUUGUGAUAAGUUAAGAGGAUGUACCAGGAGCUGCAUCUGUGCUGCCAUGUUAACUCAUAGAGCACCUGCCUCCGCCUGAUUCUGUUCGGUCAGCUUUGUCAGGUCAUGUUGAGGCUGUGCAAUCUCACCAAAACAUAUGUGUCCCUGAGCUUACCUUGUCCACAUCAUUGCAUAGAUGUGGUCCACAGAUUACAUGUCAGUCAGGAAUGGAGGAAGAUGACAAAGCAGACACUGUAGCCAUGGGCGGUUGGUAGUCUUCCCUCACUGACAGCUCAGUGCUGAGGCAGCAUCUGCUGUCUCCCUGGUCCUAGAAAUGCAAGGUCCAUCUUUCUACUCCCUGUUUGAUUGGUAUCUAUUGGGGACUGCUUCUGGUCUUGUCUCUUCCAUCAUGAGUACCACUUUUUCUCUUUGCCGAGAAUAAGAGUGUGAGUAUGCUGCUUUGUUAUGAAUAUACAUGGAACCUUACUCCCCUUUCUAAGUAAUGGGGCAGAUAAAAUGGCCUAUGAGUCUUGUUGGCUAAGACAUGGCCUGAAAUUAAAGUUGCUUUUAUGGCCACUCAUCACUGAACCUUAGCAUCGAAAAUGACACAAAUUUUAUAUACAAGUGAAUUAAGUUAAUAAGUUCAUUUCUGAAAAGGCAGCCCAACUCAUAAAAUUCUAAAAUCUGUCUAUAAUUGCUCACAUUAGGGCCAGGAAUUCUAAUUUUCAAGUAAAGAACUGAGUCUCAAUCUCAGACUGAUCAUAAUUGGCAAAAUCGAAUGGAAUCCAUUUCCCAGCCUUAUCUUGAUGGAGAUCAACUUCUCUACAUUCUCAAAGCUGCCGUCUAUAGUAAUAGCGAGCCUGCAAGAUCCAGGGAAGCUAAAACCAAAGCAUUCAAAGGACAAUUUUCCAGUACUUGAAAUGCCUGUCAACAUCUUCUGUCCGUUCCCAGGUUUCAAAAAGAUCUGCAGGUCAUGAAGUCAGGGUCUUCUUUUCACAGUUGUGGGGGAAGUCAUCGAAUCCCUUAGUGUUCAAGUUAUGAUCCUCAAAGCUGCCUUAGUAGCCACUAACCCCCCAAAAUGUUUGUAAUUUCUGUGAUUAGUAGGUCAAGUGCAAUCAGGGAUGGUGUAUAUUUUUCAGGCUUGGUGCUCAACAAGUGCUUAGACACCAUUGAUCCUAUAUUUCAUAGAAGUGGGGAAUAAUCAGUACUUAUCCAGAGACAUCUUAGACCUGCACACCAUGAGGAAGCCAGCACCUGUACCAGCUUUGCUGUGCUUUUUUUAGUCUCUUAUG
Long non-coding RNA from Equus quagga, 2668 nucleotides. RefSeq lists it as uncharacterized. The transcript is spliced from 3 exons. The record is from RefSeq and is a predicted model, not a curated record. Lineage: Eukaryota; Metazoa; Chordata; Mammalia; Perissodactyla; Equidae.